AUUGAACGCUGGCGGCAUGCUUUACACAUGCAAGUCGAACGGUAACAGGUUAAGCUGACGAGUGGCGAACGGGUGAGUAAUGCAUCGGAACGUGCCCGGUCGUGGGGGAUAACGCAGCGAAAGCUGCGCUAAUACCGCAUACGAUCUAAGGAGGAAAGCGGGGGACCGUAAGGACUCGCGCGAUCGCAGCGGCCGAUGUCAGAUUAGGUAGUUGGUGGGGUAAAGGCUCACCAAGCCAACGAUCUGUAGCUGGUCUGAGAGGCCGAACAGCCACACUGGGACUGAGACACGGACCAGACUCCUACGGGAGGCAGCAGUGGGGAAUUUUGGACAAUGGGCGAAAGCCUGAUCCAGCAUUGCCGCGUGCAGGAAGAAGGCCUUCGGGUUGUAAACUGCUUUUGUACGGAGCGAAAAGGUCUCCUCUAAUACAGGGGGCUCAUGACGGUACCGUAAGAAUAAGCACCGGCUAACUACGUGCCAGCCGCCGCGGUAA
RNAcentral lists this ribosomal RNA (493 nucleotides) under uncultured bacterium. Its description in RNAcentral is "partial 16S ribosomal RNA". It matches the Rfam family "Bacterial small subunit ribosomal RNA", at positions 29 to 523 of the family's 1533-position model. The record is from RNAcentral.